UAGGGAAUAUUGCGCAAUGGGGGAAACCCUGACGCAGCAAUUCCGCGUGGAGGAUGACGGAUUUCGGUCUGUAAACUCCUGUCAGUAGGGAAGUAUGGACGGUACCUACAGAGGAAGCACCGGCUAACUACGUG
This 134-nucleotide ribosomal RNA is filed under the name uncultured bacterium. RNAcentral's name for it is "partial 16S ribosomal RNA". It matches the Rfam family "Bacterial small subunit ribosomal RNA", at positions 355 to 507 of the family's 1533-position model. The record is from RNAcentral.